Cyanistes caeruleus (blue tit) is the source of this 1345-nucleotide long non-coding RNA. The record is from Ensembl. Lineage: Eukaryota; Metazoa; Chordata; Aves; Passeriformes; Paridae.
GCUACCAACCUUUGGUGGUAUAAAUGACUGGUGAGAACUGGUUAAAAUCUUUUCAUUCUAAUGGAACUGUGAAGUUCUCAAAGCUGAUGAAAAUGGUCAAGAAGAGCCACAUCUGAGAGUCAGAAAUCUACUGAGAAUUUUUGAUAAGCACAGCUAUGUCUGGAGAGGAGCUACAUGUAACAAGCUCCUUGUUUAGUUAAGGGAUACAGAGAAUUUUCAUCAAAAUGCAGCAUUUCCAUUUAACUUCACCCUCUGAAGAGAACUGUUUUUCACUGAAAAAAGAAGUUAUAAAGGAAACAAUCUGCUCUUAAACUCAACAUGAGGAAACUGAGGCCUGAAUCUGCAGCUACGUAACUCUGCUUGCACAAACACUUCCAGUGCUUUCAACAAAGAUCUUCACACAGCAGAAUUACUCACAUGGAUAAUUGCUCCUGAGAUCAGGCAAUCUGGGUUAGUUAGUGAAAUAAGGGCACUAAAUCAUUUUCUAAUCUAUAUUGUUCUUUUUGACUGCCAAAGUGCUAGCUGUAUUUAUUUUUUAUAAUCCUGAUAAGGAAACAUUCCUAAAACAUUAGCAAAAAAAAUCCAGCGUGAGUGAGAGGACAAAGUGAAACAAACAUCUCUCAGCCUUCCUCUGCUGUCGCUGAUCUUUAAAUAGCAAACUUGAGCCUCUGUCAAAGCACGCUUUGGGUGGUUGUACAGCAAGUAGCUCCACGAGAUGGGAUUGGAAAAUCCUUCAAGGCCCUUAAUCAGCAGGCUCUGGCUCUUUGAGCUCUUCCCUGCUCCUGCCUUUGGAAGGAGUCGUGCCUGAGAACGUUUAAUCCGCGGCGACCCUGAGCGCUGUCCCUCGGGGAGCUCCCUCCUCUUGUUAUCGUGCGUUGGCCGUGUCAGAGAUACCAGGUUGCUUCAUUCUCAUCCACCACGGGGCAAAAAUCUUCCAAACACUCAGGAAGGCUCUGCAGGAAUACUGGGAUCGCAUCUUCCGGAGGAGUUUUGUUGGAUGUGAGUAAUUUGCUGUGGCAAUGUGCUGAUGGAGAGUGUGGGGCUGCUCCUUUCCCUUUAAUGGUUUAUCCACAUGGGGCAGUAGCAGGGGAAAAACUCCAGAGCCUUGUAGGAGAAAUGCUCCUGCCUUUAAGUUGUGGUGAGACCAUUGAUCAUGCUGCUGAUAAAGCAGCUUAGGCUGUGACAAGCAAUUGGCCGCUGCAGUGUUUGCAGGGAGACAUCAAGGCUUUGGAACACAACCCUUGGGCUUAAAAUAGCAAAACUCCCUUUGAGAAGGAGCCCUUACAAUGUGUGUUCCUUAAAUAGACCCACAACCAAGAAAAUAAACCCCGUUUUACACGGGCCA